This 483-nucleotide microRNA precursor is filed under the name Amborella trichopoda. Its description in RNAcentral is "miR8570 stem-loop (atr-MIR8570)". Lineage: Eukaryota; Viridiplantae; Streptophyta; Magnoliopsida; Amborellales; Amborellaceae. The record is from miRBase by way of RNAcentral.
UAUAUAGGAAUUGUAUACUAUGAGACCAUUUAUAUUUAGUGUAUGGAGGUCACAGCUACUCCUAGCCAUUAGAUGUCAAAUUGAUGGCUUGAGGGUUGUCACAAAGUUCAAGAAAUUUUUUUUUGAACUUUGAGUCUUGUCAAUGACACACUCACAACCGCCCAAUAUAAAAUCUGACAAACCUACUUGUAUUAAAAAUACAUGGUGUCUUUUGUAUUCAUUUUCAUGUGUAUAUAUAUAUGAAAAAGCAUAGAAAGAGACUAUUUAUGUUUAAUACAAAGAGGUCACAAUCACUCUUGUCCGUCACAUUUCAAAUCGGGUAGUUGGGAGUGCGUCAUUGACUAGACUUAAACUUUAGAAGAAAAUUUUCUAAAACUUUGUGACAUGCCCCUGGCGAUUCACUUUGACAUCUAAUGGAUGGUAGCAAUUAUGACCUCCUUGUAACGAAGACAAAUGUUCUCAUAGUCAACAGUCCCUAGUAUA